RNA transcript from Tribolium castaneum (red flour beetle), 1042 nucleotides. RefSeq lists it as uncharacterized. The transcript has 4 exons. The record is from RefSeq and is a predicted model, not a curated record. Lineage: Eukaryota; Metazoa; Arthropoda; Insecta; Coleoptera; Tenebrionidae.
CAGAUCGAGCGGUUUGUUUGUAUUUCACGAAAUUAUGGCCGUCAUCACCAAGUUUUGUUUCUCGUGUUCUGUAAGACUCGGCUCGAUAAUUACAGGGUGUUUAACACUGAUUCAAGCUUGUGCGUUUCUGGCAAUCACACUGAACUCAACUUUGGAAGAAAUCUCCGAUGUUUUGAAUCAAUGGUUGAGCGAAAUUCGCUUAGAGGAAGGAGUUUUUAAGGAAAUUGCUAAUAAUCCCAUACUAAUUGUCACAAUAAGCUCGAUGUUUUUCUCAUGUUUGGUUUGUAGUUCGGUUUUGUUGAUUUAUGCCAGUUUUCAGACUCGUCCGCUUCUUAUGUACCCUUUCACAAUUUUUUAUUUUUUGUACAUUUUGGUUUUAUUUGGGGCACUUUUGUUAGUUUUACAGUUUACUAAAAUAAGGGGGAAUGGUUUAGGCGAACUGAUCUUAUACUCAAACCUGGGUGGAUUUAUCUUGUUGUUUUAUUUGUACACUUGGUUUGGUGUAGUAAGCUUGAUACAAGUAAUAAACGAGCUUCAAGUUCGAUUGAAACGCAAAUUACGAGUGGUCGAAUCGAUGAAGAAAAAGAAGAAUAAUACGAGAGGUGUUUACAAUUAUGCUCAUUUUAAUUAAUUAGUGUUUUAUUUAACAACACAUCUAGCUACACAAGUCCAACAAAAAGUCAAAUUACUCCAUUUCCAAUAAUUGAUAGGUCUUGUAAAUGCCAGGCUUCGUUGCUUGUCUAUCGCUGUCAAAAGAAAAAUAUCUGGAAAAGAAACAUCGCAACACAUUGAUAAACAUUGAAGGACUUUAUUACGGAUGUAUUUUUGCGUCCAUUUGGCCUUUGAGUAGUCGCAAACAGUUGGUCCUAUUGAAAGAAUUAAUUAAAUUAAUUUCGUUGAUUAUUUUCUUACUUGAGACAACUCCGGGCUGCUCGACCGAAAGCCCCGCCCGGAAUCAAACCAUUGAGAGGUCCCCUUCGAUGUUUUUCUGUUUUAGUAUCAUAUUUACUGGAAAAAAAUAUUAAAAUAAAAUUUAUAGUGA